This 492-nucleotide ribosomal RNA is filed under the name uncultured bacterium. Its description in RNAcentral is "partial 16S ribosomal RNA". It matches the Rfam family "Bacterial small subunit ribosomal RNA", at positions 29 to 507 of the family's 1533-position model. The record is from RNAcentral.
AGUGAACGCUGGCGGUAGGCCUAACACAUGCAAGUCGAACGGCAGCACAGUAAGAGCUUGCUCUUACGGGUGGCGAGUGGCGGACGGGUGAGGAAUACAUCGGAAUCUACUUUUUCGUGGGGGAUAACGUAGGGAAACUUACGCUAAUACCGCAUACGACCUACGGGUGAAAGCAGGGGAUCUUCGGACCUUGCGCGAUUGAAUGAGCCGAUGUCGGAUUAGCUAGUUGGCGGGGUAAAGGCCCACCAAGGCGACGAUCCGUAGCUGGUCUGAGAGGAUGAUCAGCCACACUGGAACUGAGACACGGUCCAGACUCCUACGGGAGGAAGCAGUGGGGAAUAUUGGACAAUGGGCGCAAUCCUGAUCCAGCCAUACCGCGUGGGUGAAGAAGGCCUUCGGGUUGUAAAGCCCUUUUGUUGGGAAAGAAAAGCAGCAGGUUAAUACCCCGCUGUUCUGACGGUACCCAAAGAAUAAGCACCGGCUAACUUCGUG